Molecule: long non-coding RNA, 1530 nt
Organism: Poeciliopsis prolifica (blackstripe livebearer)
Lineage: Eukaryota; Metazoa; Chordata; Actinopteri; Cyprinodontiformes; Poeciliidae
Exons: 3
Source: RefSeq, a predicted model, not a curated record
AAUGAACCAGUCCAGAUACAUUGAGAAGAUACUGGAAAGGUUUGGUAUGGCAGAGUGUAAACCCAGAGCCACACCUAGUGAAAUCAAAUGUGAUCUAGUUCCAGAAGGAGAACAAACUGAUCAGAGAAAAUACAGGGAAAUGCUGGGCAGCCUCAUCUACAUCAUGACCUGUACUAGACCUGAUAUAAGCUGGAUUGUGAGCAGACUGUCACAACAUAUGUCUGAUCCCAGAGAAAAACACCUGACAGCUUUGAAACAUGUGUACAGGUACUUACAAGGGACUAAGGACUAUGAAUUGUGUUAUAACAAGUGUAACACUAAAUUAGAGUUGAUAGGAUACUCUGAUGCCGAUUGGGCCAACGAUGUUCUUGACAGGAAGAGCACUACAGGCUAUUGCUUCAGCCUAAGUCCAAGUGGAGAUAUUGUUUCAUGGAAAACAAAGAAACAGCAAACAGUUUCACUGUCGACAUGUGAGGCUGAGUAUGUAGCAUUGGCAGCUACCAUCCAAGAAGCGCUCUACCUAUCCCAACUACUACGGGACAUGGACCACAGCAAAGGUGUUUGAAGAUAACCAAGGGUCAAUACGCCUUGCAAAGAACCCUGUGUAUCGCCAGAGGAGCAAGCACGUGGACAAUAAAUACCACUUCAUAAGGUCAAAUGUUUCACAUGGAAAAGUUAUUUUGGUUUAUUGUCCAACAGAAAACAUGGUUGCAGAUGUGUUCACAAAGUCUGCCACAAAAGGCAAAAUUGAAAAAUUUUGUUCUUACAUGUUUGGAAAAUAGCGUUGUGGUUAGAAUGUGUGGCACCAUCAAGUGGGGGUGUUGACUAUGAUGUUUGCCACUACUGUGUUUAUGUUGGCACUAUUUUGUUAAGCGGAAGGUUACGCUAAGUAAUAAAGGCGGAGCCUCCUCCCUUCUCCCUCCUGAGUGUUCGGGCAGAGCAGGGCAGUGUGGUUGCCGGUUGAUGUUGGUGGUGUCUCCUGUGUCUUGUGUGUUGCAUGGGUGAGUUGAUGCACCUACAAGGAUGUUUUCGAGCGAUGCAGAGGAGCCAAGUGAUUCCAGGGGGAGUGGCGGGAUACCCGCUACAGAACAAUCAACAUUCUCCACGUAGACACCAGGCAGCCUGUGCAUCAGGCUUUGUCUCUCAUCGCUCCCAGAUGGGAGAAACAAGCUCAGGCCUCCCAUUGGUCCUUAUCAAGUAGAUUUCCAGACUAUAAUCUUCAUCAUCCAUCAUCAAGCUGUAACACUCCACUUAUGAAGAAAGGUGAGGGACACCGGUAACCCAAUACCACGGGUGGGUCCGAUUCUGAUACCUUCUCCCUUCUGAGCAGAUGUCUGAUGAAAAAAGAAGCGGUAAGAUGUCACUGGUUGACCUGGACUGGGAGGAGAAGGCUUAGGUUGAUUACUGGAAGGUUUUGAUCCCUGUCAACAUGAAUGUUGUAUGAACUUUACAUUUUUUCAGGAUUUUUUGAUCUUUUCUUUUCCUGAGGUGGAAUGAUCGGACAGUUAAUGAAUUUGAAAACAAUUAUUU